GCCAGUACACUAAACAGCUAUCAUGUAGUUCCAGAAAGACUAUUAUAUUGGUUAGUCGGGUAAGCCUUGCUGAGUACCCCGUACUCAGGGUUAUCCCUUGUGGCUGUUUCAGAAGCACCGCAGGAGCCCGUAGAGGAGGAAGCCCCGGAAAACUAGGGUAUUGUUAUGAGUCUCGCAAUACCCUCAGAAGGAAAAACUCUUAUGUGCAUCUCCCACCUGGACCAGUUUAUGUUUAAAACUCCU
Molecule: long non-coding RNA, 243 nt
Filed under: Setaria viridis
Lineage: Eukaryota; Viridiplantae; Streptophyta; Magnoliopsida; Poales; Poaceae
Description: long non-coding RNA (SVIR_LNC004370)
Source: RNAcentral